GUGCGACAUCUCUUCCUCCAGGUGCACAUCAAGUCCCACUUCAUCAUGAACGGCGUGUGCGUGAGGUGGCGCGGAUGCCUCGACCUCGAGCGACUGGACGGCGUCGGCUGCCUCGAGUUUGACGAGGACGCGGCCAGGUUGGAGGACGCCAUCUUGAGGGACGAGUUGGAGAAGUACAAGGCCAAGCUGCGCGAGUUCGAGGACAAACAGAGACCCUUCAAGCCUUUCGCAGCUGCUUCCACGGCCAAGUAAGAAUGAAAGGAAGAAGAAAAGACCAAGAAGAGAGAAGAGAAAAAUGAAGAAGAAGAAGGGGACAAAGGAGAAAGGGAGAAACAAAAUAGAAGACUGAUAGAAAGAACGAAGAAGA
Molecule: non-coding RNA, 367 nt
Organism: Penaeus vannamei (Pacific white shrimp)
Lineage: Eukaryota; Metazoa; Arthropoda; Malacostraca; Decapoda; Penaeidae
Source: RefSeq, a predicted model, not a curated record